This is a long non-coding RNA of Nyctereutes procyonoides (raccoon dog), 342 nucleotides long. RefSeq lists it as uncharacterized. NCBI's taxonomy places the organism in Eukaryota, Metazoa, Chordata, Mammalia, Carnivora, Canidae. The transcript has 3 exons. The record is from RefSeq and is a predicted model, not a curated record.
CAGCCGGGUGCGGUGAUCGUGCUGCAUCUCUAGCGUCCCGACGCCCCUUGGGGAGCGCGAAGAGUGCAGCGCCCUUGGAAGCCAGCUUUGAGAAAGGCACCUGACCUCCCAGGACCUCAGGAGGCGCCCCCGAGAAACCCGGCCGCACCGUCGGCGCGCGUCUCAGACAUCUAUCUUCAUGGAGUCUACAGACCCUCUUUGGGAUGAGGGGUCAUAGGAGAACUAUUGACUCUUUUUAAGCAAUAAUCAUGGCUGGAUUCGUGUUUUAGGAUAAUCUCCCUGGCUCCUGUGUGGAGUGGAUUCAGAAGGCUUUGGCUGUUGUUUUCAGAGAGCUUGUGUUUG